Molecule: long non-coding RNA, 266 nt
Filed under: Drosophila guanche
Lineage: Eukaryota; Metazoa; Arthropoda; Insecta; Diptera; Drosophilidae
Source: RNAcentral
GUUAAAAGUGUAUUAUUUUGCGUACAAAUGUAUGUACGUACACAGAGCAAAAAUGUUCUAAAUUUGCACCAAGGGCAAUGUGUGUGUGUGAAAAUGUGCCAAAAAAGGCGCGAAGUUGUCCCCUCCCUUCACCCAGCAAUCAUAUAAAAGCGAAAGAAAAAAGAAGAGGCGCAAAAAGCAAAGAGCGGGUGUCUGCGCUCUCAUUUCAAGUGUAUCCUAAUAGGGUGAGGCAACCCAAUUCGUGCUAGUCUGACUCUCUCUCCCGU